CACGUAGGGUGCGAGCGUUGUCCGGAAUUAUUGGGCGUAAAGAGCUCGUAGGCGGUGUGUCGCGUCGGCCGUGAAAACCUGCAGCUCAACUGUGGGCUUGCGGUCGAUACGGGCAUCACUGGAGUUCGGCAGGGGAGACUGGAAUUCCUGGUGUAGCGGUGAAAUGCGCAGAUAUCAGGAGGAACACCGGUGGCGAAGGCGGGUCUCUGGGCCGAUACUGACGCUGAGGAGCGAAAGCGUGGGGAGCGUACAGG
RNAcentral lists this ribosomal RNA (254 nucleotides) under uncultured bacterium. RNAcentral's name for it is "partial 16S ribosomal RNA". It matches the Rfam family "Bacterial small subunit ribosomal RNA", at positions 524 to 776 of the family's 1533-position model. The record is from RNAcentral.